Molecule: ribosomal RNA, 293 nt
Filed under: uncultured bacterium
Lineage: Bacteria
Description: partial 16S ribosomal RNA
Rfam family: Bacterial small subunit ribosomal RNA
Source: RNAcentral
GUGUCAGCCGCCGCGGUAAUACGUAGGGAGCAAGCGUUGUCCGGAUUCAUUGGGCGUAAAGAGCUCGUAGGCGGUUCAGUAAGUUAGGUGUGAAAGCUCCGGGCUCAACUCGGAGAGGCCACCUGAUACUGCUGUGACUCGAAUCCAGUAGAGGAGUGUGGAAUUUCUGGUGUAGCGGUGAAAUGCGCAGAUAUCAGAAGGAACACCACUAGCGAAGGCAGCACUCUGGGCUGGUAUUGACGCUGAGGAGCGAAAGCAUGGGUAGCAAACAGGAUUAGAAACCCGCGUAGUCC